Molecule: ribosomal RNA, 253 nt
Filed under: uncultured bacterium
Lineage: Bacteria
Description: partial 16S ribosomal RNA
Rfam family: Bacterial small subunit ribosomal RNA
Source: RNAcentral
UACGUAGGGGGCAAGCGUUGUCCGGAAUCAUUGGGCGUAAAGCGCGUGUAGGCGGUUCGAUAAGUCUGCUGUGAAAGUCGGGGGCUCAACCCUCGGAUGCCGGUGGAUACUGUCGGGCUAGAGUGCGGAAGAGGCGAGUGGAAUUCCUGGUGUAGCGGUGAAAUGCGCAGAUAUCAGGAGGAACACCAAUUGCGAAGGCAGCUCGCUGGGACGUUACUGACGCUGAGACGCGAAAGCGUGGGGAGCAAACAGG